This 73-nucleotide transfer RNA is filed under the name Camelus bactrianus (Bactrian camel). It matches the Rfam family "tRNA". From Rfam's summary of the family: Transfer RNA (tRNA) molecules are approximately 80 nucleotides in length. Their secondary structure includes four short double-helical elements and three loops (D, anti-codon, and T loops). The record is from Rfam by way of RNAcentral. RNAcentral also lists the same sequence under 3 other names. Lineage: Eukaryota; Metazoa; Chordata; Mammalia; Artiodactyla; Camelidae.
GAAGGUAUAGCUCAUGUGGUAGAACACAUGCUUGGCAUGCGAGAAGUCCUGAGUUCAAUCCCCAGUACCUCCA